This 476-nucleotide long non-coding RNA is filed under the name Marmota monax (woodchuck). Lineage: Eukaryota; Metazoa; Chordata; Mammalia; Rodentia; Sciuridae. The record is from RNAcentral.
CCCCGUGCGAGUGUCUCCCUCUCCCUCUCGCUCCCUCUCUCUCUCCCUCUCUCUCUCUUUUGUGAGUUAUAGCAACCGUUGCCUUGUGAAUCAAGCGCCAUAGUCACCGUAGUCCUGGCGACUGUUACCCAUCAACAACAACUACUCCUCUCCUCCUCCUCCUCCUCUUCCUCCUCCUCCUCCCCACCACCACCAUCUCCAUCACCCACCAACAACACCACAAUAAUCCACAGCCAAGGUGAAUAUUCUUCGGUCUCUACAUGUGUGUGGGAGCGUGUGGAUGCGUGUGAACGCGUGUGUCCGUGCGUGUGUGUGUGUUCGUGUGUGCGAGCGGAGCGUGGCUGUGCGGGGUCUCACUCCUGACACCGGGCUGCUGCUGCGGCGCGGCAGCCGAGGGGCUCUGUCCCCGGCUUGUUUACAAUGGACCCUGCGCGCCGCGGCGGGGUCGGGGGUGUGGGCGCCGCGCCGCCCGCUGG